GUUGACCAAAAGACAGUCCCAGAAAACAACUCUGCACCCUCAAGAGCAUGAGCCUGAGCCUUUCACCAUGCAAGACGAAUGACCCUCGCUUUGAUACUUGGUGCCACCUCUAACAAAAAAAAAUUACAAUAAUAUGACCGUGAUUCACUUCCAGGAAGUAAUUUGGAUAUGUGCCGAUGAGGAAUGUCUGCCAGCCUGCAGUGCAUUUGUCUUUCUUCUGCCCACCACAGCAAAUUCAGGAUCAUCUUGCCUUUAAGUCCUCAAGAAACCUCCAGCCAAGUAGGCCGAACACUGUGUCCUCACGCUGGUGUGUCUCCAGGGCUGGUGCACACAUAUCGGCACCUGCAUCCGCAGGAAGUGCAGUGGUGGGAGGUCUGGGGUGGGGGGGAGAGGGAUGCGAGGUGUCGGCACGCGGGGACCCCUGGAAAUCCUGAGGGAGGGAGCCAGACGGCACGGAAUUUAGGGUGGACAGCUGGCGACCCUUGGGUGACCUUGGUCCGACUUGGCAGUUAGAACUUCACGCUCUGGACCCCCCUCUGGGCAGCGGGGAACCACCGGCGAUGCGGUAGUUGCACUUUCAGAUUUGCGCCUGGGGACCCUCGCUCUGGCAGAGGGAGGGGAGAAACCAGGUGCAGCAGCAGGGAAAGGCCCAGAAGGACGAGAAAACCCAGUAAGAAAAUGGCAAGUCACUGAAGCCAGGGCCGCAGGCCUGGGCAGGAGGCCCGAUCCAAGAAGUCUCAGAGGAAAGAGCCCUGGAGAGAUCUCUGGCUUGGGGGGACGUGGGGCCCGCGCUCUCCGCAGCCUGGAGAGCAGAGUCUGGGAGGACUGGACUCUCCCGGGAUACACUGGGGCUAGUGGGAAAGAGUCACAGGCGGGACCUUUGGUACUGACAGUGGCCCCCGCACAUCUGAGGCAGGUGGUGGCGGACACCUGUACCCGGAGGCCGGGACCGGACAGGGUCUCAUUCAAGACGAGGCAGCGGAGGCUCCCGUGGAGGGGGGUGAAGAGGGAGAGAAGGGGGGACCCGGGGCGUGUGUGAGGCCAGGGAGGUGAGCAGAGCCCGGGGAGGGGGUGCUGGUGCGGGCAGGGGUCAGGGGAGCCACAGAAGCACCUACGUCUUCCUUUCUCCCGAAGGGCGGGCAAGCCAGGCACCGCAGCAUCACUCUGCGGCCUGCGGUGGCCUGGGGCUCACGCGGCCGUGAGGGGGUCACCCCCGCCUCGCCUUCUGUGUCGCAGCCCCCAGGUGGCCCCGUGAGCGAGGCACCGAGCAGGAACGCUUCCCGGGGGCGCGGCCUGGGGCCUGUGGGCUCCCCGGGAGGAGGGAGGACGGCCAGGCGCUGCGUCCUGUGCGACACCUGCCCCUCGGCCCGCAAGAGGGGCCUCCCGCCGGCCAGCACACUACAGAGGCAUCCUCCGGGCACCCCCCACGACCACGGACGUGCUGCCAGGAAAAUGUCAGUGGGCGACAGUGCUCCUGGCAACCGGCGCUCUGCUUCUGAAGCCGCUGCCAACCCAGGCGGUUUGCCUCCUGGACGAAGGUGCCGUCCGGGGGUAUGUGGGUGACCAGGGCCACAGUAUGAUGACAGGACACACCUGUGGGGAAGGGGAAGGCACGCGAGUGACUCGCAAGGACACCACAGGAGAGGAGGCCGGGCGUCGAAGGAACAGGCGGUGGCACAGGUUUGGAUUCGUCCAAGUGCCCUGUGAUGCCAGCAGCCUAGGCCACCUGCUCCUGGGAGCGCUGUGUCCUCCCCAUCACCUGCCCCAGCCAGCCACCCCCGCUGCACCACGUCCAGCCCCUCCCCUGCGGGUUAGAGACCAGGCCCUCCCUGACCACCUCCUCCCUCCAGGGCGAGGGUAGCAGGGCUUCCUCCAGCCUGGCCCUUCCCUGAGUCCUCUGUCCUCCACCGCUCAGACCCUGGUGGUCCUGCCCGGGGUGGAGCCCAGAGGGCUGCAGAGGGCACGUGGCUUCCCGCAAGUGCUGAGGAUACAGGAUGGGUUUAUUUUUCUUUCUUUUUUUAAAAUUUUUAUUUAUUUAUUUUAUUUAUUUAUUUAGUCACACACACAGAGAGAGGCAGAGACAUAGGCAGAGGGAGAAGCAGGCUCCAUGCACCGGGAGCCCGGCGUGGGAUUCGAUCCCGGGUCUCCAGGAUCGCGCCCUGGGCCAAAGGCAGGCGCUAAACCGCUGCGCCACCCAGGGAUCCCGGGUUUAUUUCUCUUUAGGCAGUGGAAAAGCAAAAACCAAGACCCACUGUCCAGUCUGAACAGUCAAACCAUCUUCUGGAGUAUUUGGCAGAAAUUAUUUUCUUGGGCAUCAGAUAAGAAAUAAGCAAGAGAGACCAAUACUUCAUUCAGUUCAUGAUGAUUCUUACGGCAGAAAGAAAUCAGCACGAAAUAAAAGUGACAGUGGCUAAAACGUGUACGGUGAA
Long non-coding RNA from Vulpes vulpes (red fox), 2429 nucleotides. The record is from Ensembl. Lineage: Eukaryota; Metazoa; Chordata; Mammalia; Carnivora; Canidae.